CCAGACAGCCAGGAUGUUGGCUUAGAAGCAGCCAUCAUUUAAAGAAAGCGUAAUAGCUCACUGGUCGAGUCGGCCUGCGCGGAAGAUGUAACGGGGCUAAACCAUGCACCGAAGCUGCGGCAGCGACGCUUAUGCGUUGUUGGGUAGGGGAGCGUUCUGUAAGCCUGCGAAGGUGGCCUGUGAGGGUUGCUGGAGGUAUCAGAAGUGCGAAUGCUGACAUAAGUAACGAUAAAGCGGGUGAAAAGCCCGCUCGCCGGAAGACCAAGGGUUCCUGUCCAACGUUAAUCGGGGCAGG
Molecule: ribosomal RNA, 295 nt
Filed under: Salmonella enterica subsp. enterica
Lineage: Bacteria; Pseudomonadati; Pseudomonadota; Gammaproteobacteria; Enterobacterales; Enterobacteriaceae
Also listed under: 1 other name
Description: partial 23S ribosomal RNA
Rfam family: Bacterial large subunit ribosomal RNA
Source: RNAcentral